Tachyglossus aculeatus (Australian echidna) is the source of this 420-nucleotide long non-coding RNA. RefSeq lists it as uncharacterized. NCBI's taxonomy places the organism in Eukaryota, Metazoa, Chordata, Mammalia, Monotremata, Tachyglossidae. The record is from RefSeq and is a predicted model, not a curated record. The transcript has 4 exons.
GUUGCGAUUCGUCAGGGACGGUGUUGCGAGGAGGAGUGUCUGUCUGUCUGUCUGUGUGUCCGUUUAGUAGUAAGAGCCCAGGCUAGAUUGUGGACCGUGUGAACCUGUCUGGGUACAGUGUGGUGAGGAGGCAGAAGAAAGGGCUGUGUACCCACCGGCCACAUCAGAAUAGAAUGGAAACAAACAGGACUGGGCUGGAAUCACUUUUGUAUCAUAACCCGUCUGAGGAAAUGAGUCAGCCGGUGAGGCCUGUUUGAGACAUGGCGUACAGAGAGCAGUGGUUGUUGUGCUCUCAGAAGUUUCACCCAUCCACCUGAGGUCCAGAAAAACAGGCAAGAGAGACUUUGAGGAGCACUAACCCAUUCACACCCCAGAGCGUUCAGUCCAUUCCUGAAUUUGUCGCACCACUCCACCUUCCAG